Molecule: ribosomal RNA, 235 nt
Filed under: uncultured bacterium
Lineage: Bacteria
Description: partial 16S ribosomal RNA
Rfam family: Bacterial small subunit ribosomal RNA
Source: RNAcentral
CGGGACGGGUGGGUAAUGUCUGGGAAACUAGCCUGAUGGAGGGGGGUAACUACUGGAAACGGUAGCUAAUACCGCAUAACGUCGCAAGACCAAAGAGGGGGACCGUUCGGGCCUCUUGCCAUCGGAUGUGCCCAGAUGGGAUUAGCUAGUAGGUGGGGUAACGGCUCACCUAGGCGACGAUCCCUAGCUGGUCUGAGAGGAUGACCAGCCACACUGGAACUGAGACACGGUCCAG